AGCGAACGCUGGCGGCAGGCCUAACACAUGCAAGUCGAACGAACCUUUCGGGGUUAGUGGCGGACGGGUGAGUAACACGUGGGAACGUGCCUUUAGGUUCGGAAUAACUCAGGGAAACUUGUGCUAAUACCGAAUGUGCCCUUCGGGGGAAAGAUUAAUCGCUUUUAGAGCGGCCCGCGUCUGAUUAGCUAGUUGGUUGAGGUAAUGGCUCACCAAGGCGACGAUCAGUAGCUGGUCUGAGAGGAUGAUCAGCCACAUUGGGACUGAGACACGGCCCAAACUCAUACGGGAGGCAGCAGUGGGGAAUCUUGCGCAAUGGGCGAAAGCCUGACGCAGCCAUGCCGCGUGAAUGAUGAAGGUCUUAGGAUUGUAAAAUUCUUUCACCGGGGACGAUAAUGACGGUACCCGGAGAAGAAGCCCCGGCUAACUUCGUG
RNAcentral lists this ribosomal RNA (434 nucleotides) under uncultured bacterium. RNAcentral's name for it is "partial 16S ribosomal RNA". It matches the Rfam family "Bacterial small subunit ribosomal RNA", at positions 29 to 507 of the family's 1533-position model. The record is from RNAcentral.